This is a long non-coding RNA of Lathyrus oleraceus (garden pea), 1503 nucleotides long. RefSeq lists it as uncharacterized. The transcript has 2 exons. The record is from RefSeq and is a predicted model, not a curated record. Lineage: Eukaryota; Viridiplantae; Streptophyta; Magnoliopsida; Fabales; Fabaceae.
UAAGGGUGAUGUACACAAGAUGAGCAAACACAAGACCAGGCCGAAAUGCAUAAGUUGCUUAAAUGAUAAAGCUGAAAACAAAGGAGUGAUGAAAAAGCGCUUAUGCACAUAGAAAAGCCGCAUUUUUACUACGAUUUUCGCUCGCGUCGGGGUCGAUGCUCGCGUCUGGAUGCGUCACGUGAUCCUUCUUCAUACUCGAUUCAAAUUCUCGUGUUCGAUUCAUUUAUCGGUAUCACAAUCGACGUUGCGCCUUCACAAACUUCCACUCACGUUUCAAUGUUUAAAAUGCCCGCGGAUUCUCGUUCGUCAUCAUCAUGGUUCGAUUCCUCCGCUUGCGUCAAUCGUCGUCGUGCUUCGACAAUCGCCGUGGAGCCUCGGGGUCACCAUCAUCGUGUUUCGGAACAAGACAAAUGUUGGCAACAAAUCUCUCACCAAGUUGAUUUCCACAAUGGUUUUCUUGUGCUUCUUUCUCUUCUUUUGCGCUCUGGUUUGUGCGUUUUGGUGGUCGUGUUUCUCAGGUGAAGCAUGACGACAUCACAGCGGAAGGAAACAACAGUUGAUUGAAGAGGAUUCUUUGGUAUGGAAUCGACCCUCCAAUCACAAUGCAGGCACUAAUUCUUCUUCUCUUUGAGUUCCCGAGUUUUUGUUGAUAGUUGAUGUGUGAAGAAUUUCAGUUGUGAAUUGCUUCCUCCUUUGGAUGAAUUUUCUGUAAUGCUGGUGAAUGAGUGAAGGAAGAAUGGAUUGAAUGAAAUCGGUUGAGUGCAAAAAUCUGUUGAAAACUGAGUUGAAGUGUGUUUUGUUGCUUGUUUGCAGUUGAGUAUAACUGGAGGUUGUUACGGUAAAUGGAUGGUUGCGGCAAGCCAUUGAUGCCAGAGCCAUACGUAUACAUCAUAACUGGGAGAUACAUACUCCUUUGAGGCAAAAUAAAUCUAUGAUGAAAGUGAGGGUUGCUUCCAUUACUGACAACAUAUUAUGUUAGUCAGAACAGGUGAAGAGGAUCCCCAGCAGUCGAUUGCCAUCAUACCUUGCAAAUUUUGGUGGCGGCGAACUUCUGGUAUAUUUCUAUUGUUGUAGAGUCACACUUCACAAUUUUUGUUUAGUUGUUUGUCAUAGAACUGACAAUGUCAUGAAACUACAUUGAGAUUGAAUGUUGCAGAUUAUUUGAGUCAAUAUGUACCUUUGAUCUAGGAAUUAAUAUCAGAACCUACGUAUGUUAAUCUUAUUGGUAUUAUAUUGGCUCACUUGAAUAUGUUGUGGAUUUCAUCCCAUAACAACUUUGAAGCUUUGUAUCCAACUACUCGUGCCAACAUGGAUUCUAACAGAGUGGAGAGAAUUUUAUUUUGUUGUUUCUUAACGGGUGGAUGCAAUGGUUUAUGUAUGUACGUUGGUCUUUUGUCUGGUUCAAAUCAUGAUUUGUUUAUGUGCAUAUGUUUAUGGUUUUCACGACUUGAAGGUUAAUAGGUAGAUGUAUGGUAUGAUAUGGAUGUUUAAUGGUUUUGGUCA